Molecule: unclassified non-coding RNA, 330 nt
Filed under: uncultured Tremellaceae
Lineage: Eukaryota; Fungi; Basidiomycota; Tremellomycetes; Tremellales; Tremellaceae
Description: sequence contains ITS1
Rfam family: 5.8S ribosomal RNA (bases 1-105)
Source: RNAcentral
GAAAUGCGAUAAGUAAUGUGAAUUGCAGAAUUCAGUGAAGCAUCGAAUCGUUGAACGCACCUUGCGCCUUUUGGUAUUCCGAAAGGCAUGCCUGUUUGAGUGUCAUGAAAUCUCAAUCCCCCCGGGUUUUCUGAACCCGAGGUGGACUUGGACAUGGGUGUCUGCCGUCUCGUACGGCUCGCCUUAAAUGACUCAGUGGGAUCUUCAGUAUCCGUGACAGACCCAAUACGUUUCGUCUCGUCCCUUGCUGUGACGACCGCUCAUAACCCGCCAUCGCGCACCACUUUUGACUCUGACCUCGCAUCAGGUAGGACUACCCGCUGAACUUAA